Molecule: long non-coding RNA, 2904 nt
Filed under: Gadus morhua (Atlantic cod)
Lineage: Eukaryota; Metazoa; Chordata; Actinopteri; Gadiformes; Gadidae
Description: lncRNA (ENSGMOG00000035000.1)
Source: RNAcentral
GUAAUUAUGUGGAUGCUUAAACAAGGCCAAGGCAUUGUUCCUAUCGUUGUUAAAAUCCUCCAGUUCUUUCCCAGCAAACUACCUCAAUACCAAGAUCACUGUAGCAAUAAAGAGAUAUUUUUAAUGCAAAAAAAUCAUCUGGACUUCAGGCUCUUCGCUCAAAGUCUUGCAUUGGACAAGAUGAAACUUGAGGAUUACAUUAAGGUAUAUUUUUUCCUUUUCACACUUAUUUAAUAGAGGAACUUGGAAGAAUAGUAAAAAAAAAUGGGAAGAAGAACCCAUUAUCAUGGUGGUCAUAGUAUAGCAUAUUGAGCGUCUUCUCUUUUAAAUAACAGAUUCCCUUUUCUCCCACCGGGGUGCACUGCAGACAGGCAUAUGGUGGAAAAAAACCUUGUUUCAUGGUUCUAUGGUAGCUGAUUGAUUUCUGUUGUUUAACCAUACCUAGGGUUAGAUUUAACACAUCUAAUACAUAUUUCAUUCAAAAGACCCCAGCGUUGUUAAAUCUCAGACAUAUCAAGUUCACUACCCUGCAACUAUAGAAAAAUCAGCCUGUAUCUUUUAUUCUUUUAUACUUUUUACUUAAAAUGUUUUCUGUGUUUGAAAAUAACUUUCAUUUGAUUGGUUAUGAACUAGCACUACACAGAGAGUUUAUUUGACGGUUGGCGUUGCUUGGUGAUGCCGUCGGGUUGAGGAUAUGUGUAUGAACCGUUUUUAAGUCGCUUUGGAUAAAACCGUCUGCCAAAUGCCCUAAAUGUAAUUGUAAUUACUGUGGGAAUAAGAUACGUAUAAGUUAUUUUACGAUGUGUUUAGUUAGUACCAAUAAAAUAUUACUUAAGAACCACAUAAACGUGUCCAAUGCUGGCUGUCUUUCAGAAUGAGCUGGAGGAGCAGUACGGUGAACAUUAUACCCAGAAAGUAGAGGACAGACUUCUGCACUAUGUACAUGAAUUGGAGAUGAUGUUACCAAGAGAUACCUAUAUAGACCAGAUCUUACGGCAAGAGCAUAAAGUGAGCCAUGAACACAAGGAAAUUUUGGAGAUUAUAGCUCAAGGCUCCACGGCCAUCGCAAGUUCCCUGAGGAUGCUACUGCAAUGGGGUGACAAAAGCUGUUGUCCUCUGAAAUUCUCCUCGAAACCAGCAGUGGCAGCUGUGGUGGAACCUGUUGCUCUCCCAGAGCCUGCCGUGAACAACAUCUCUUUCGGUGCUCCUCCAAGAUCGGAGACGGCCAAAGCUCCCGUAAUGGCCCGGGAAGACGCAUUGUGCCGACACCUUUCCCAAGACAGCCCUCUUCUGUUUCCUAUGGAGCAGCAGGAGAACAGUGGCGGUGUGGGAGACGGUGAGGUCGGAUGUCCCCAACCAAAAGAGGGGUUGGCGAGGGAAGCUGGGGACGGAGAGGCAGUGAUGAAGGCUGACGGUGGGCGCGAUCAGAGGGGACCGGCCCUCCCCACGGAUCAGCAGGCGGAGGAAGGUGGUCCCCAAAGAGGUGAGGAAGCGGAAGGGGGGGACCACACGGAUGUGCAGCUCAGCCAGAGAAGCGAUGACUCUGAACGCGUGUCCUCCUCUUCCUCAUCUUCCUCCUCUUUGCCACAUUUCUGCACCAAACACAAGCGAUGGGUGAGGAGCAUCCUGUCUGAGUGCUCCAAAGAGCGGCAGGCACAAAGAGACGUGCCUCCCUCCCCUCUGCUCUUCCCUUCCUCUUCCUCCUCUUCGUCUCAGGACCUCACCCCCUCCGACCUCAUCCCAUGCGACCUGAUCCAAAAGCCCCCCAACCGUCAGACCCCCUGCCUCUCUCCGGCAACCGCCCAGGGGCCCGGUCUGACCCUGUCCAUGCAUAACCCCUGCCCCACACGGUCUGUACAGCCGCUCUGCCCCCCCGGGGUCCGCCCAGGGUCCCCCAGAGCAGGGGCCACAAACACCUCCCAUCACGUGGCCCCAUCUACAACCCCUUGCACCCCCGUCCCUGAAUGUUCGGCAAGCCAUGAAGCAGCUGCUUCCAGCCCACCAAAACCUGAGGCUCCAUCGUACUCUUCAGACGGGAAGCACGGGCUGACUGUAGGCCUUUUACCAGACGGGGCUCAAUCACAAUUUGCCCCUUCCAUUUCACCAGACGCGGUUAAACCACAAUUGGCCCCUGCCGUUGCACUCCCCCGGUCAGGGCAAUAUCAGCCGGCCCUCGCCUCGACACUGCCUGCACACUACCAGCAAACUGUAUCUGGUAGCGACUCGCCCUCUGUCUGCAGCCUAACACCUGGCCACACAGCGGCCCCCUCACCAGGGCCUUCGAGAUGCGUGGCCGCUCCUGAAAGAGGGUGCCACCUGUCAGGAUCUCCUGCACAGACCCCCGCCUCGCUUCACCAUGCUCCCCCAGGCUCGUCCAAGGACUCUUCUGAAGUCUCGGCCCUGCCUCCGAGCUCCGACCUGCACUCCGUGUCUCUGACCUCGACCAGCGCCGCGAGAGCGACUCCAUGCACUGAACUUCCCCCCGGCUCGAGACCUGCGCUCGCCGCCGCUGUCUCCACGGUGAGUGACGGACCCCCCCCGAGCGUUUCAGCUCAGGUCCCCCGGGCUCCGACGCAGUCCCUGCCACAGCCUUAUGUGAGACUCACCAGACUGCACCCGCUCAGGUACCUCCGGGAGAAGGGGGGGAGAGCUCCUCCAAGCACUGAGACACCGCUUGUUGAGAAGCAGGCCUUGGGUGAUCCUCACGAUGAAGGUGGAGGUGAGGAAGAGGAGGAGGAAGAGGAGGGAGAAGGAGGAGUCAAGUUUCUGUACUUCGAUCCUAACCUUCUCUACUCCGGUGAUGAGUCUUCAUGCAGUGACUCUGGGGCUUCUGAGGACCUGGAUUACAUGCCCUCAAGGAGUCACAAGAAGAAACAAGUGCCUAAUAUGUCACCCGAUAUGUAA